RNAcentral lists this ribosomal RNA (552 nucleotides) under Triticum aestivum (bread wheat). Its description in RNAcentral is "partial small subunit ribosomal RNA". The record is from RNAcentral. Lineage: Eukaryota; Viridiplantae; Streptophyta; Magnoliopsida; Poales; Poaceae.
AUGGCUAGAGCAUGGAAGGAUAACUAUUAUGGUAUAUCACAAUUAUCAAGGUACAUCUUUGUGGCUCAUUUUCGUUCUUUGGAUGCUGUUAUGUUUGUCAUUACUCGUCAGCCUUGGAGCAUGGGUUCAGACAAUUUCUUGCUUGAAUGGAUGGAUCCAGAGGAGCAAAAUAGGAAUAUUCAGGACUAUAAGUUUGACACUAUCUACGUGACUAUUCGGAUUUAUGACAUCUUGCAAAGUGUUGGCCAGAUCUCAGAAUUUCAUCCUAUAAAUCAGAGUAUGAUAUUUGCUAGGGAGAAUUACAUUUGGGGUACCAUUAAAGCUCAGGUUAGUAAAGCAGUCACAGAUAGAGUUUGGGUUUCUUUUGCCAAGGAUUCUGCUGGUUGGGCUUACUUAUUCUAUGAGAAAAUUGGCAAAAUCUGCACUUUUUGUGGAGUUAUGUUUCAUAGUGUUCAGCAUUGCAAGAUCAGAAAUAGUGUUCUCAUUUCAAGAAACAGGCUGCAAGUUUCUUUGGAAGAAAUCUCACCAAAUAGAUUUGGGCAGUGGAUGACU